UAUAAUGUGCCUGAAAAAGGAUUACUAUGAUAGAGUAAAUUAUGUAAAUUGAUUUUACCAUUAUAC
This 66-nucleotide transfer RNA is filed under the name Phyllomimus sp. ZJZ-2017. RNAcentral describes it as "tRNA-Ile". Lineage: Eukaryota; Metazoa; Arthropoda; Insecta; Orthoptera; Tettigoniidae. The record is from RNAcentral.